This 218-nucleotide ribosomal RNA is filed under the name uncultured bacterium. RNAcentral's name for it is "partial 16S ribosomal RNA". It matches the Rfam family "Bacterial small subunit ribosomal RNA", at positions 524 to 741 of the family's 1533-position model. The record is from RNAcentral.
UACGUAGGGUGCAAGCGUUAAUCGGAAUUACUGGGCGUAAAGCGUGCGCAGGCGGUUUUGUAAGUCUGUCGUGAAAUCCCCGGGCUCAACCUGGGAAUUGCGAUGGAGACUGCAAGGCUAGAAUCUGGCAGAGGGGGGUAGAAUUCCACGUGUGAGCAGUGAAAUGCGUAGAGAUGUGGAGGAACACCGAUGGCGAAGGCAGCCCCUGGGUCAAGAUU